AGCCAUUUUCCAUUCCUAUAGGAAUUCCUAUAGGAAUUUUCAAUGCCUAUAGGAAUUCCUAGAGGAAAUUUUAAUUCCUAUAGGAAUUCCUAUAGGAAUUUUCAAUGCCUAUAGGAAUUCCUAUAGGAAAUUUCAAUGCCAAUAGGAAUUCCUAUAGGAAAUUUCAAUUCCUAUAGGAAUUCCUAUAGGAAUUUUCAAUGCCUAUAGGAAUUCCUAUAGGAAAUUUC
Molecule: non-coding RNA, 227 nt
Organism: Paramuricea clavata
Lineage: Eukaryota; Metazoa; Cnidaria; Anthozoa; Malacalcyonacea; Plexauridae
Source: the annotation of a GenBank genome assembly